UACGGAGGAUCCAAGCGUUAUCCGGAAUCAUUGGGUUUAAAGGGUCCGUAGGCGGUUUUGUAAGUCAGUAGUGAAAGCCCAUCGCUCAACGGUGGAACGGCCAUUGAUACUGCAAGACUUGAAUUAUUAGGAAGUAACUAGAAUAUGUAGUGUAGCGGUGAAAUGCUUAGAUAUUACAUGGAAUACCAAUUGCGAAGGCAGGUUACUACUAAUGGAUUGACGCUGAUGGACGAAAGCGUGGGGAGCGAACAGG
RNAcentral lists this ribosomal RNA (253 nucleotides) under uncultured bacterium. RNAcentral describes it as "partial 16S ribosomal RNA". It matches the Rfam family "Bacterial small subunit ribosomal RNA", at positions 524 to 776 of the family's 1533-position model. The record is from RNAcentral.